Molecule: ribosomal RNA, 2232 nt
Filed under: Triticum aestivum (bread wheat)
Lineage: Eukaryota; Viridiplantae; Streptophyta; Magnoliopsida; Poales; Poaceae
Description: partial small subunit ribosomal RNA
Source: RNAcentral
AUGGCGACCACCACCAUACUGCUGCUGCUCAUCGUGCUGCCUCCGCUGGUGGCGGCAGCGGCGGCGGCUCAGCGCGUGGCGCUGCCGGGGUGCCGCGACAGGUGCGGCAACAUCACCGUCCCCUACCCCUUCGGCAUCGGCGCCGGCUGCUUCCGCGACGACGGCCAGCAGGGCUUCCAGCUCGAGUGCGACGACGACGGCCCCGGCAGCUCCCCACGCCUCGCCGUGUUCGGUUACAACCACCGCCUGGGGGCCCUCUCGCUCGCGGCCGGCGAGGCCCGCGCCUACCUCAACGCGACGAGGGAGUGCUACAACUCCACCGGCGGGCUCCUUGACCGGAAAGGCACGUUCAUGUCCCUCGGAACUAGCCCUUACCUCUUCUCGUCCACCAAGAACCGCCUGGUGGCGCUCGGCUGCCCCAACCUCGGCUUCUUCGUCGACGCCGCCGGCUACUACGUCAGCGGCUGCAUGUCCGUGUGCCGGCCGUCGCGGUACGUCCUGCCGGGCCCCUGCACCGGCGUCGGGUGCUGCCAGAGCGCGAUACCGCCCGGGAUCAGCUUCUUCGAGCCGCACCAGCGCAACUUCCCGCCGCAGCAGGACGACAACUCCGCCUUCAUCAGCAACGCCACGUCGUGCCACUACGUCUUCCUCGUCGAGGCGGAGUGGUUCAGCUACAGCGACCGCGUCUUCCUCAACCGCACCGACGACUUCGACGUGCCCGUCGUGCUCGACUGGGCCGUCCGGAACGUCGACAACUGCAGCGCCGCCAGGCGCAACGCCACCGACUUCGCCUGCCGGAGCGCGCGCAGCGAGUGCUUCGACGCCGUCAACGGCCCCGGGUACCGGUGCAACUGCUCCAGCGGCUACGACGGCAACCCGUACCUCGACGAUGAAUACCCCUGCUACGGGAUCUGCACAAACACGCAGGGGAGCUACACUUGCCAAUGCCCUUCCGGGACAAGUGGAGAUGCCACCGCAAAAAAUGGCUGCCGGCCAAAGGACAAGUUCACCUUAGCUCUGAAGGUCGUUACAGGAGUCAGUGUGGGGGUGUUCUUGUUAGUGUUCAUGUGCUUCUGGCUCUACUUAGGGCUGCAGAAGAGAAAGCUCAUCAAGGCAAAGCAGAGCUUCUUCGAGCACAACGAAGGCGUCAUCCUACAGCAGCAGAUGCGUGGCACUGCCGGGGGAGGCGGUAGCGGGUUCAAAAUAUUCUCAGAAGAGGAGCUCAAGAAGGCGACAAACAACUUUGCCGCUGACCAGAUCCUCGGUCGCGGCGGCCACGGCAUUGUCUACAGAGGUGUUCUGGAGGACAAGACCAUAGUGGUCAUCAAGAAGUCCAAGAUGAUGGAGGCGACAGAGACCAAGGAGUUCGCGAGGGAGAUGCUCAUCCUGUCCCAAAUCAACCACCGGAACGUCGUCAAGCUGCACGGCUGCUGCCUCGAGGUGGAGGUGCCGAUGCUGGUCUACGAGUACGUCUCCAACGGCACUCUCUACCAUUACAUCCAUGGCCGCGAGGGCCACGACACCAACAAGGCACUCGACACCCGCCUACGAAUAGCGGCGGAGUCGGCCAAGGCGCUGUCGUACAUGCACUCAUCAGCCUCGCCACCAAUCCUCCACGGCGAUGUCAAGACAGCCAACAUCCUGCUCGAUGGUAGCCUCACGGCCAAAGUCUCCGACUUCGGGGCAUCGAAGCUAGCACCAAGUGACGAGGUUGAGAUUGCGACACUGGUACAAGGCACCUGCAGGUACUUGGACCCGGAGUACCUCAUGACAUGCCAGCUGACGGACAAGAGUGAUGUGUACAGCUUUGGCGUCGUUCUUCUCGAGCUCUUGACAGGGAAGAAGGUGCUCUGCUUCGACGGGCCAGAGGAGGACAGGAGCCUUGUGUCCCGAUUCACUACGGCCGUGAAAGCCGGCCAGCACGGCGAGCUCCUUGACGGUCGGGUGAGAGUAGAGAUGGGCCCCGAGACGUUGGAAGAAGUUAGGCACCUCGUGAUGCGGUGUGUGAGCAUGAUCAGGGAGGAGCGUUCGUCGAUGAAGGAAGUUGCAGAGAAGUUGGAAGCUCUGAGAAGGUAUCAGCGGAACCCAUGGGGUCAGGCGGGUGCUGACCCGGAGGAGGGGCAAAGCUUGCUUGGCAGAGACAUAGAGCAACAACGUGAUGUGAAUUAUAUAUUCAAACCGCAAGACGGGCUCAAUCUUGAAGAGGGCAGUACAUACACUUUUAGCUUGUAG